GGGACACGUGGUAUCCUGUCUGAAUAUGGGGGGACCAUCCUCCAAGGCUAAAUACUCCUGACUGACCGAUAGUGAACCAGUACCGUGAGGGAAAGGCGAAAAGAACCCCGGCGAGGGGAGUGAAAAAGAACCUGAAACCGUGUACGUACAAGCAGUGGGAGCCUCUUAAUGGGGUGACUGCGUACCUUUUGUAUAAUGGGUCAGCGACUUAUAUUCUGUAGCAAGGUUAACCGAAUAGGGGAGCCGAAGGGAAACCGAGUCUUAACUGGGCGUUAAGUUGCAGGGUAUAGACCCGAAACCCGGUGAUCUAGCCAUGGGCAGGUUGAAGGUUGGGUAACACUAACUGGAGGACCGAACCGACUAAUGUUGAAAAAUUAGCGGAUGACUUGUGGCUGGGGGUGAAAGGCCAAUCAAACCGGGAGAUAGCUGGUUCUCCCCGAAAGCUAUUUAGGUAGCGCCUCGUGAAUUCAUCUCCGGGGGUAGAGCACUGUUUCGGCAAGGGGGUCAUCCCGACUUACCAACCCGAUGCAAACUGCGAAUACCGGAGAAUGUUAUCACGGGAGACACACGGCGGGUGCUAACGUCCGUCGUGAAGAGGGAAACAACCCAGACCGCCAGCUAAGGUCCCAAAGUCAUGGUUAAGUGGGAAACGAUGUGGGAAGGCCCAGACAGCCAGGAUGUUGGCUUAGAAGCAGCCAUCAUUUAAAGAAAGCGUAAUAGCUCACUGGUCGAGUCGGCCUGCGCGGAAGAUGUAACGGGGCUAAACCAUGCACCGAAGCUGCGGCAGCGACACUAUGUGUUGUUGGGUAGGGGAGCGUUCUGUAAGCCUGUGAAGGUGUGCUGUGAGGCAUGCUGGAGGUAUCAGAAGUGCGAAUGCUGACAUAAGUAACGAUAAAGCGGGUGAAAAGCCCGCUCGCCGGAAGACCAAGGGUUCCUGUCCAACGUUAAUCGGGGCAGGGUGAGUCGACCCCUAAGGCGAGGCCGAAAGGCGUAGUCGAUGGGAAACAGGUUAAUAUUCCUGUACUUGGUGUUACUGCGAAGGGGGGACGGAGAAGGCUAUGUUGGCCGGGCGACGGUUGUCCCGGUUUAAGCGUGUAGGCUGGUUUUCCAGGCAAAUCCGGAAAACCAAGGCUGAGGCGUGAUGACGAGGCACUACGGUGCUGAAGCGACAAAUGCCCUGCUUCCAGGAAAAGCCUCUAAGCAUCAGGUAACAUCAAAUCGUACCCCAAACCGACACAGGUGGUCAGGUAGAGAAUACCAAGGCGCUUGAGAGAACUCGGGUGAAGGAACUAGGCAAAAUGGUGCCGUAACUUCGGGAGAAGGCACGCUGAUAUGUAGGUGAAGCGACUUGCUCGUGGAGCUGAAAUCAGUCGAAGAUACCAGCUGGCUGCAACUGUUUAUUAAAAACACAGCACUGUGCAAACACGAAAGUGGACGUAUACGGUGUGACGCCUGCCCGGUGCCGGAAGGUUAAUUGAUGGGGUUAGCGGUAACGCGAAGCUCUUGAUCGAAGCCCCGGUAAACGGCGGCCGUAACUAUAACGGUCCUAAGGUAGCGAAAUUCCUUGUCGGGUAAGUUCCGACCUGCACGAAUGGCGUAAUGAUGGCCAGGCUGUCUCCACCCGAGACUCAGUGAAAUUGAACUCGCUGUGAAGAUGCAGUGUACCCGCGGCAAGACGGAAAGACCCCGUGAACCUUUACUAUAGCUUGACACUGAACAUUGAGCCUUGAUGUGUAGGAUAGGUGGGAGGCUUUGAAGUGUGGACGCCAGUCUGCAUGGAGCCGACCUUGAAAUACCACCCUUUAAUGUUUGAUGUUCUAACGUUGGCCCGUAAUCCGGGUUGCGGACAGUGUCUGGUGGGUAGUUUGACUGGGGCGGUCUCCUCCUAAAGAGUAACGGAGGAGCACGAAGGUUGGCUAAUCCUGGUCGGACAUCAGGAGGUUAGUGCAAUGGCAUAAGCCAGCUUGACUGCGAGCGUGACGGCGCGAGCAGGUGCGAAAGCAGGUCAUAGUGAUCCGGUGGUUCUGAAUGGAAGGGCCAUCGCUCAACGGAUAAAAGGUACUCCGGGGAUAACAGGCUGAUACCGCCCAAGAGUUCAUAUCGACGGCGGUGUUUGGCACCUCGAUGUCGGCUCAUCACAUCCUGGGGCUGAAGUAGGUCCCAAGGGUAUGGCUGUUCGCCAUUUAAAGUGGUACGCGAGCUGGGUUUAGAACGUCGUGAGACAGUUCGGUCCCUAUCUGCCGUGGGCGCUGGAGAACUGAGGGGGGCUGCUCCUAGUACGAGAGGACCGGAGUGGACGCAUCACUGGUGUUCGGGUUGUCAUGCCAAUGGCACUGCCCGGUAGCUAAAUGCGGAAGAGAUAAGUGCUGAAAGCAUCUAAGCACGAAACUUGCCCCGAGAUGAGUUCUCCCUGAGACUUAGAGUCUCCUGAAGGAACGUUGAAGACGACGACGUUGAUAGGCCGGGUGUGUAAGCGCAGCGAUGCGUUGAGCUAACCGGUACUAAUGAACCGUGAGGCUUAACCUU
RNAcentral lists this ribosomal RNA (2526 nucleotides) under Escherichia coli. Its description in RNAcentral is "partial 23S ribosomal RNA". It matches the Rfam family "Bacterial large subunit ribosomal RNA", at positions 419 to 2925 of the family's 2925-position model. Lineage: Bacteria; Pseudomonadati; Pseudomonadota; Gammaproteobacteria; Enterobacterales; Enterobacteriaceae. The record is from RNAcentral.